This 459-nucleotide ribosomal RNA is filed under the name uncultured Streptococcus sp. RNAcentral's name for it is "partial 16S ribosomal RNA". It matches the Rfam family "Bacterial small subunit ribosomal RNA", at positions 341 to 792 of the family's 1533-position model. The record is from RNAcentral. Lineage: Bacteria; Bacillati; Bacillota; Bacilli; Lactobacillales; Streptococcaceae.
ACGGAAGGCAGCAGUAGGGAAUCUUCGGCAAUGGGGGCAACCCUGACCGAGCAACGCCGCGUGCGUGAAGAAGGUUUUCGGAUCGUAAAGCUCUGUUGUAAGAGAAGAACGUGUGUGAGAGUGGAAAGUUCACACAGUGACGGUAACUUACCAGAAAGGGACGGCUAACUACGUGCCAGCAGCCGCGGUAAUACGUAGGUCCCGAGCGUUGUCCGGAUUUAUUGGGCGUAAAGCGAGCGCAGGCGGUUUAAUAAGUCUGAAGUGAAAGGCAGUGGCUUAACCAUUGUUCGCUUUGGAAACUGUUAGACUUGAGUGCAGAAGGGGAGAGUGGAAUUCGAUGUGUAGCGGUGAAAUGCGUAGAUAUAUGGAGGAACACCGGUGGCGAAAGUGGCUCUCUGGUCUGUAACUGACGCUGAGGCUCGAAAGCGUGGGGAGCAAACAGGAUUAGAUACCCUGGUA